UUACUAAUCCUAGUUUAGACGAAGAAGUUAUGAAACGUGAGAUCAAGUUAAUGGAUGCAGGUUUGUCAUUUUUGCUGUAAUCGCUAUUGAGAUCAGUGAUAUAAUUCUAUUACUAUUGCUGAUAUUUAACAAGUUUUCUUUUCUUUUCUUUUCAGAAUUUGAAUUAAGUAGACAAACUGAUUUAGUACGUCUUGAACAGCUCAUGGCACAUGGAGCUCCAAAACGUCAUCCCUUUAACAGAUUUACAUGGGGCAACCACAAGUCUCUUUCCACGGAAAGAUCCUUCCAUAAUCGUCUUACUGGGUUAUUCAAAAAAAUUUAUGUGGGUGCUGCCAUGAACCUUGUGGUGUAUGGGGCAGGUAAAAUAAUUUGUAUUACAAUUUCUACUCUUUUAUGCAAUUCAAAAGAAUGAUUCAUUUGAUAUGUCUCUUAUUGUAAUCGCUUGUAGAACCUGUUGAUAAACUUCAAGCAUGGGUGACUUCUUACUUCUCUGGUAUUAAGCGCAUUCAGCAAGGAUUACAAACUGAAUUAUUUAGGCUUAAUUCAAGCAUUCCUUUUUGGAAACGUAAAAAGCUCUACAUGCUGAAAGCUCUUGAGGACGACAAUAUUCUUCGUCUUACUUGGAGAAUUCCUCCCCAGAUUCCUAGAGAUGCAGUUUCAAAAAAAUCUGCAGAUUCAGAUUCUCAUCUAUACAAGCCAGAAAUUUUUCUUGAAAAAGUCUUAGGCCAUCGAUCUCAAGGAUCACUUUACUCUCUUUUCAAAAACAAAGGAUGGAUUACUAGCCUAGAUGUUUUCAUUGGGGCUUGUAAUGGUUCUGAAGAUUCCGAGUUAUCGAUUGAUAGCACUUCAAUAGCUAGGGAGAUUAUUCACUCUUUCUCUUCAUCUGAAAGACAACAUCAUUAUCACUGAGGUACUAUUCUAUUGUUUACUCUUUCAAUUCAAUUUCACCAAUGUGUAUAAGUUUCCUAGUUUUGUAACUCUUGAAGAACCUCCUCCUUUUUUUUUUUACAGAUAUAUGACAUCGUCACCUAUGUCUAUAAAUUUCUUAGUUUCGUAACUCGUGAAGAAGCUCCUUCUUGGAUCAUGCAAGAAUAUUUUGAGAUGAGAAAAAAACAGUUUGAAUCAUUUGAUGAUUAUGAUGAACUUGGUUUAAACAUGGAGUCUUUAGUUCAUAGAAUUGCAGGUUUGGUUUUUGCUCUCGUAUUUUUUGAUACUUCUUUGUUUUACUACCAAUUUUAUUUAAUUUCUAAUAAAAUUUUGUCCUAUACAGCUAACAUGCUUCAUUAUCCAUUGAAGCAUGUACUUUCUGGGGAUUACAUCAACCUUCGGCACAGCAAAGAGUCCGUUUUAGAACUCUUGCAGUAUUUUGAUAGAAAGAAUAUGAGGCUUGAUUUCAUAUCUAAACAUUUGAUCAAGCAGGUAUAAAGAAAUCAAUUAAAUCUCAUUGGUUUUUUUUGGUUUUUUUUGUUUGAACCAUGUGUUUGUCUUAAUUUUUAUUCUUUGUAUACAUGUUGCAAAGUUGAACCGUGGUUCAACUCUUUCUACACCAAAGUACCUAUUUCAUCUUCUAUUA
This is a long non-coding RNA of Arabidopsis lyrata subsp. lyrata, 1573 nucleotides long. RefSeq lists it as uncharacterized. NCBI's taxonomy places the organism in Eukaryota, Viridiplantae, Streptophyta, Magnoliopsida, Brassicales, Brassicaceae. The transcript is spliced from 3 exons. The record is from RefSeq and is a predicted model, not a curated record.